AAUUAACCUGACACUAGCCCUAGUAACUGACACCUUACUGGCCCCAAUACCAACAGUUAUCACAUUUUGACUCCCACAACUUAAUAUUUAUAUAGAAAAAUCCAGCCCUCAUGAAGGUGGAUUUGAUCCAUUAACCUCCGCCCACCUCCUCUUCUCUAUAAAAUUCUUCCUAGUGGCCACCACAUUUCUCCUGUUCGACUUAGAAAUCGCUCUACUCCUACCCCUGCCAUGAGCCCUUCAAACAAACAACCUGACACUAAUAAUCAGCACAGCCCUUAUACUAGUUACCAUUUUAAUCCUAGGCUUGACUUAGGAAUGAACUCAAAAAGGAUUAGAUUGAGUUGAA
This 346-nucleotide long non-coding RNA is filed under the name Homo sapiens (human). Its description in RNAcentral is "non-protein coding lnc-GTDC1-19:1". Lineage: Eukaryota; Metazoa; Chordata; Mammalia; Primates; Hominidae. The record is from RNAcentral.